RNAcentral lists this transfer RNA (57 nucleotides) under Loxodonta africana (African savanna elephant). It matches the Rfam family "tRNA", at positions 8 to 63 of the family's 71-position model. From Rfam's summary of the family: Transfer RNA (tRNA) molecules are approximately 80 nucleotides in length. Their secondary structure includes four short double-helical elements and three loops (D, anti-codon, and T loops). Lineage: Eukaryota; Metazoa; Chordata; Mammalia; Proboscidea; Elephantidae. The record is from Rfam by way of RNAcentral.
UGGCUUAGUGGUUAAGUGUUUGGCUGCUAACCAAGCAGUCGAUAGUUCGAAUCCACC